AACGAACGCUGGCGGCAUGCCUAACACAUGCAAGUCGAACGAGACCUUCGGGUCUAGUGGCGCACGGGUGCGUAACGCGUGGGAAUCUGCCCUUGGGUUCGGAAUAACAGUUAGAAAUGACUGCUAAUACCGGAUAAUGUCUUCGGACCAAAGAUUUAUCGCCCAGGGAUGAGCCCGCGUAGGAUUAGCUAGUUGGUGAGGUAAAGGCUCACCAAGGCGACGAUCGGUAGCUGGUCUGAGAGGAUGAUCAGCCACACUGGGACUGAGAUACGGCCCAGACUCCUACGGGAGGCAGCAGUGGGGAAUAUUGGACAAUGGGGCAACCCUGAUCCAGCAAUGCCGCGUGAGUGAUGAAGGCCUUAGGGUUGUUAAAGACUGUUUUGCCAGGGAAGAUGAUGACUGUACCUGGAGAAUAAGCCCCGGCUAACUUCGUGCCAGCAGCCGCGGUAAU
Molecule: ribosomal RNA, 451 nt
Filed under: uncultured bacterium
Lineage: Bacteria
Description: bacterial SSU rRNA
Rfam family: Bacterial small subunit ribosomal RNA
Source: RNAcentral